AAAGCUCAAAUUUAAAAUCUGGCGGUCUUUGGCCGUCCGAGUUGUAAUCUAGAGAAGUGUUACCCGCGUCGGACCGUGUACAAGUCUCCUGGAAUGGAGCGUCAUAGAGGGUGAGAAUCCCGUCUUUGACACGGACUACCGAGGCUUUGUGGUGCGCUCUCAAAGAGUCGAGUUGUUUGGGAAUGCAGCUCAAAAUGGGUGGUAAAUUCCAUCUAAAGCUAAAUAUUGGCGAGAGACCGAUAGCGAA
Molecule: ribosomal RNA, 247 nt
Filed under: Coprinellus sp. 2 CRJH-2017
Lineage: Eukaryota; Fungi; Basidiomycota; Agaricomycetes; Agaricales; Psathyrellaceae
Description: partial 28S ribosomal RNA
Rfam family: Eukaryotic large subunit ribosomal RNA
Source: RNAcentral